RNAcentral lists this microRNA (22 nucleotides) under Panagrellus redivivus. RNAcentral describes it as "prd-miR-7939b-5p". The record is from miRBase by way of RNAcentral. Lineage: Eukaryota; Metazoa; Nematoda; Chromadorea; Rhabditida; Panagrolaimidae.
CGUGAGCCCUCAUGGCAUUCAU